RNAcentral lists this long non-coding RNA (554 nucleotides) under Brassica napus (rape). Its description in RNAcentral is "long non-coding RNA (BNAP_LNC006187)". Lineage: Eukaryota; Viridiplantae; Streptophyta; Magnoliopsida; Brassicales; Brassicaceae. The record is from RNAcentral.
CCCUAGAUUCGAUUGCAUGCUGGCUGCUGCAACAUAAAACUAUAAAAGAGACAGAGAUCACCAGCAUCAUGUGCUUCACUCAGUUUCCCCUUCAAGACUAAUUAAUCUAGUAUUUCUCCCCACUCUUAAUUUUUCAUUUACAUAUUAAAGUUGAUCAAUUUGUUUUGGAAAAUGAAUUACUAGUUAUAUUGUUGUCAGUAUUUUUACUCGUUGAUCUUACUAGAACAGUGGCAUGGGGGAAUGCAUUUGGAUGACAAACCAUUUACUCUUUAUAAUUUAUAAAUAAAGUAACGAUUAUUAACUAACAACUUAUUAAUACAAACACCACUUCCAAGUGUAGUCCCAUGUGAUCAUGGACGGCUUUGCUUUUAAGUAUCAACUAUUAAAAAGUACUAAACAUUAAGUAGGGGAUACUAUGCGUUGGUGUUUCGUAUACAGUAAAUAUUUAUAAAUUAAUAUACUAUAAAUAGUAAUUUUGAACUGUAAUUUUCCAAAGUUCCAACAUUAUUAAAUUAUAAAAAAUUUACUGUAUAUAGUUAAUCACAAUAUUAAGG